This 77-nucleotide transfer RNA is filed under the name Hyphomonadaceae bacterium. Its description in RNAcentral is "tRNA-Ile". It matches the Rfam family "tRNA". Rfam says of the family: Transfer RNA (tRNA) molecules are approximately 80 nucleotides in length. Their secondary structure includes four short double-helical elements and three loops (D, anti-codon, and T loops). Lineage: Bacteria; Pseudomonadati; Pseudomonadota; Alphaproteobacteria; Hyphomonadales; Hyphomonadaceae. The record is from RNAcentral.
GGGCUGGUAGCUCAGAUGGUUAGAGCGCACCCCUGAUAAGGGUGAGGUCGUAGGUUCGAUUCCUACUCGGCCCACCA